Molecule: long non-coding RNA, 279 nt
Filed under: Chloebia gouldiae (Gouldian finch)
Lineage: Eukaryota; Metazoa; Chordata; Aves; Passeriformes; Passeridae
Description: Erythrura gouldiae (Gouldian finch) lncRNA (ENSEGOG00005001460.1)
Source: RNAcentral
CCGGGAGCUGUAGUCCUGCCGCCGCUGUGGCCGCCCCGUGGAGCCUGGCAGGGACUCGGUGUCCCGGCGCGCCGCGGGCGGAGGGGCGGAGGAGAAAGCCGGAAGACGCGCAGAGCCGCAGCAGGAUGGAGGAGCCCGCUGGGAUCAUUCCCACCCGGAGGGACGCCUUCCUUCCCCAGUCCUGCUGUGAUCGCGUCACCGUAACAAACCUGCACUAAAUUCGCUGGGCAUUUGGAAAAGUGUAUUUAGAGUUGUUCCUGGGCCUACAUCAAAGACCUC